GUGAUGUGGGCUGGUAUUACAGAGACGUGACGAUAGACACCAAUUCUGA
RNAcentral lists this small nucleolar RNA (49 nucleotides) under Pyrobaculum oguniense TE7. Its description in RNAcentral is "POGsR28". Lineage: Archaea; Thermoproteati; Thermoproteota; Thermoprotei; Thermoproteales; Thermoproteaceae. The record is from RNAcentral.